UGGGGAAUUUUGGACAAUGGGCGCAAGCCUGAUCCAGCCAUGCCGCGUGCAGGAUGAAGGCCUUCGGGUUGUAAACUGCUUUUGUACGGAACGGAAAGACUCUGGUUAAUACCUGGGGUCCAUGACGGUACCGUAAGAAUAAGCACCGGCUAACUACGUGCCAGCAGCCGCGGUAAUACGUAGGGUGCGAGCGUUAAUCGGAAUUACUGGGCGUAAAGCGUGCGCAGGCGGUUAUAUAAGACAGAUGUGAAAUCCCCGGGCUCAACCUGGGAACUGCAUUUGUGACUGUAUAGCUAGAGUACGGCAGAGGGGGAUGGAAUUCCGCGUGUAGCAGUGAAAUGCGUAGAUAUGUGGAGGAACACCGGUGGCGAAGGCGGCCCCCUGGAUAGAGACUGACGCU
RNAcentral lists this ribosomal RNA (400 nucleotides) under uncultured bacterium. RNAcentral describes it as "bacterial SSU rRNA". It matches the Rfam family "Bacterial small subunit ribosomal RNA", at positions 355 to 747 of the family's 1533-position model. The record is from RNAcentral.